UGUUGAUUACGUUGAGGGUACACCUGUUCCCAUUCCGAACACAGAAGUUAAGCUCAAUGGUGCCGAAAAUACUUGGGUGGUGACGCCCCGGGAAAAUAGGGAGAUGCC
Molecule: ribosomal RNA, 108 nt
Filed under: bovine gut metagenome
Source: RNAcentral